UGCCAGUAGUCAUAUGCUUGUCUCAAAGAUUAAGCCAUGCAUGUCUAAGUAUAAAUAGUAUACAGUGAAACUGCGAAUGGCUCUUUAAAACAGUUAUAGUUUAUUUGAUAAUUGACAAUUACAUGGAUAACCGUGGUAAUUCUAGAGCUAAUACAUGCUUAAACGCCCGACUUUAUGGAAGGGUGGUAUUUAUUAGACUGAAGCCAAUAUUCCUUGUGUCUAUUGCGGUGAUUCAUAAUAACUGAUCGAAUCUCUUUUUGAGAUAAAUCAUUCAAGUUUCUGCCCUAUCAGCUUUCGAUGGUAGUGUAUUGGACUACCAUGGCAGUAACGGGUAACGAAGAAUUAGGGUUCGAUUUCGGAGAGGGAGCAUGAGAAACGGCUACCACAUCUAAGGAAGGCAGCAGGCGCGUAAAUUACCCAAUCCUGACUCAGGGAGGUAGUGACAAGAAAUAGCAAACCGGGAACCUCAUGGUUUCACGGUAUUGCAAUGAGAACAAUUUAAAACCCUUAGCGAGAAUCAAGUGGAGGACAAGUCUGGUGCCAGCACCCGCGGUAAUUCCAGCUCCACUAGCGUAUAUUAAAGUUGUUGCAGUUAAAAAGCUCGUAGUUGAACCUCUGUCUGGGGCUAGUUUUGGCUUUGGUCAGGCUAGUUCUAGGCAUCCGCCUACAAGACUUAGAGGGCAUUCAGUUGUUCACUAGGAGGAGUAGGCAUUUUACUUUGAAAAAAUUAGAGUGUUUAAGGCAGGCAAUCGCCCGCAUAUAUUAGCAUGGAAUAAUAGAAUAGGACACCUUUCCAUUUCGUUGGUUAUUGGAAUCGUGUAAUGAUUAAUAGGGACAGUUGUGGGCAUUUGUAUUUAAUUGUCAGAGGUGAAAUUCUUGGAUUUAUUAAAGACAAACUAACGCGAAAGCAUUUGCCAAGGAUGUUUUCAUUAAUCAAGAACGAAAGUUAGGGGAUCAAAGACGAUCAGAUACCGUCCUAGUCUUAACUAUAAACUAUUCCGACUCAAUGUUUGACUGGCUCAUAUAACCAGUUGAGCGUUGUAUGAGAAAUCAAAGUCUUUAGGUUCUGGGGGGAGUAUGGUUGCAAAGCUGAAACUUAAAGGAAUUGACGGAAGAGCACAACCAGGAGUGGAUUCUGCGGCUUAAUUUGACUCAACACGGGGAAACUUACCAGGUUAAAACAUUAGUGGGAUUGACAGUUUGAGAGCGCUUUCUUG
This 1217-nucleotide ribosomal RNA is filed under the name metagenome. RNAcentral's name for it is "SSU rRNA". It matches the Rfam family "Eukaryotic small subunit ribosomal RNA", at positions 15 to 1264 of the family's 1831-position model. The record is from RNAcentral.